GAGAAGCACCUCUAGGAGGUGGAAGAAUCUGGAUUAGAUAAGCCAAUUCCAGAAAUUCUAUUCCUCCUGCCUGUGAGGUUGUGCUAUGAUUCUGUCCAGUGAGAUAGGAGGGGAAAUCUGCUAGGGUGGCAGAACCUACUGGAAAAGUUCUUCUCGUUUUUUAAAAAGGAUUCAAGUUUAAUUAUUUGGUGCUUCCUGCCAUGUACAUUUUCAAUUUAAAGUGAGGCUACGUCAACCCCUGGCAAGGCUUGUGCCCCACAUGAUACCAACCAGCCAAGCACCUGCUUCUAGAAGCAGUCUGUGGACAGAGCUUGCAAAGGUCCAUGAGAUCACUAUUGCAAACCGGGGAGAGGUCAAGGCAAGAGGAAGUAUCUUGGUGGAUUGGAGCAAUUUUCCCCUCCCACGAAUCCUCUGGCUGGAAAGUCCAGGCAGGGAGUGAUGACAGAAGCCAGGCACAGACCACAUUCCUGCCACAGUGAGACAAAUGCCUUUGGAGCCCUGAGCUACCUCAAGAAAUCCAGAGACCUUGAAGGAACAUGUGGAAGGACCAUGUGGUGGGUCCCAAAGGGAUAGAGGGAAGUGCCUGGGGAGCCACAGCUGCUCCAGCCCCUGCUCCAGCUGUUUGUUUUCCCAGCCCAGGAACAAGACCUGUGAAUGAAGAAGACUUGAAAUUGACCCCAGCUCUAGCCACUGACCAGUCUGCCUCAGUCUCAUGGGAGACGCCGAGUCAGACGAGCUCAGCUUGGCUGCUCGCAAAUUCCUGGCCCACAAAACCCACAAGAGCUAAUAAACAACAUUGCUUUUGCAAGGCA
Macaca mulatta (Rhesus monkey) is the source of this 812-nucleotide non-coding RNA. The record is from RefSeq and is a predicted model, not a curated record. Lineage: Eukaryota; Metazoa; Chordata; Mammalia; Primates; Cercopithecidae.